Molecule: transfer RNA, 72 nt
Filed under: Selaginella moellendorffii
Lineage: Eukaryota; Viridiplantae; Streptophyta; Lycopodiopsida; Selaginellales; Selaginellaceae
Also listed under: 1 other name
Description: tRNA tRNA-Pro
Rfam family: tRNA
About the family: Transfer RNA (tRNA) molecules are approximately 80 nucleotides in length. Their secondary structure includes four short double-helical elements and three loops (D, anti-codon, and T loops).
Source: Rfam by way of RNAcentral
GGGCAUUUGGUCUAGUGGUAUGAUUCUCGCUUCGGGUGUGAGAGGUCCUGAGUUCGAUUCUCGGAAUGCCCC